AUUGAACGCUGGCGGCAUGCCUUACACAUGCCAGUCGAACGGCAGCGGGCCCUUCGGGGUGCCGGCGAGUGGCGAACGGGUGAGUAAUGCAUCGGAACGUACCCGGGAGAGGGGGAUAACCGGCCGAAAGGCUGGCUAAUACCGCAUGAACUCGGUAGAGCAAAGCGGGGGACCUUCGGGCCUCGCGCUCUCGGAGCGGCCGAUGUCCGAUUAGGCUAGUUGGUGGGGUAAAGGCCCACCAAGGCGACGAUCGGUAGCGGGUCUGAGAGGACGAUCCGCCACACUGGGACUGAGACACGGCCCAGACUCCUACGGGAGGCAGCAGUGGGGAAUCUUGGACAAUGGGCGCAAGCCUGAUCCAGCAAUGCCGCGUGGGUGAAGAAGGCCUUCGGGUUGUAAAGCCCUUUCGGCGGGGAAGAAAUCGGUCAGGCGAAUAGUCUGGCCGGAUGACGGUACCCGCAGAAGAAGCACCGGCUAACUACGUG
RNAcentral lists this ribosomal RNA (485 nucleotides) under uncultured bacterium. RNAcentral's name for it is "partial 16S ribosomal RNA". It matches the Rfam family "Bacterial small subunit ribosomal RNA", at positions 28 to 507 of the family's 1533-position model. The record is from RNAcentral.